Non-coding RNA from Nemania abortiva, 105 nucleotides. NCBI's taxonomy places the organism in Eukaryota, Fungi, Ascomycota, Sordariomycetes, Xylariales, Xylariaceae. The record is from the annotation of a GenBank genome assembly.
GCCCCAAUGGCGCAAUGGUUAGCGCGUAGAGUUUCUACGACAUGAACAAUCGGUCAUUCGUAACAAGUGCCUCUAAGGCUUUGGGUUCAAGUCCCAAUUGGGGUU